GAUGAACGCUGGCGGCGUGCCUAAUACAUGCAAGUCGAGCGAACAGACGAGGAGCUUUCUCCUCGGACGUUAGCGGCGGACGGGUGAGUAACACGUGGAUAACCUACCUAUAAGACUGGGAUAACUUCGGGAAACCGGAGCUAAUACCGGAUAAGGUAGUGAACCGCAUGGUUCAAUAGUGAAAGACGGUGUUGCUGUCACUUAUAGAUUGAUCCGCGCCGCAUUAGCUAGUUGGUAAGGUAACGGCUUACCAAGGCAACGAUGCGUAGCCGACCUGAGAGGGUGAUCGGCCACACUGGAACUGAGACACGGUCCAGACUCCUACGGGAGGCAGCAGUAGGGAAUCUUCCGCAAUGGGCGAAAGCCUGACGGAGCAACGCCGCGUGAGUGAUGAAGGUCUUCGGAUCGUAAAACUCUGUUAUUAGGGAAGAACAAAUGUGUAAGUAACUAUGCACGUCUUGACGGUACCUAAUCAGAAAGCCACGGCUAACUACGUG
RNAcentral lists this ribosomal RNA (497 nucleotides) under uncultured bacterium. RNAcentral's name for it is "partial 16S ribosomal RNA". It matches the Rfam family "Bacterial small subunit ribosomal RNA", at positions 28 to 507 of the family's 1533-position model. The record is from RNAcentral.